UUACUCUCGCUGCCAGCCCGGUCCCACAUGGUAGACGCUCCCAAGCAAGAAGCUGGUUGAACCGAACCAGGUUCCGUCCCCAAACCAUUCAUUCCCGGCACAAUCUCCCAGCACAGCAGCGGCCAUGGCGCCAGCGCUGGCGGACGACCUCCUCCUCCUCUGCAAGCCCUGGCGCCGCCUCCUCUCCGGCGCGGCGCCUGCUUCCGCCGCCGCUAUCGCGAGUUCCACUUCCACGGGGCUCCGCCGCUGCUGGGGCACCUCCACGCGCUGAGAACCGCAAUCCAAGUGGCCUCUGCAGGUGAGGGGCCAGGAGACUGCGCUUCAAGUGCUUGAUAAACUCAAUCUGCUUGUGGUCUUCAGAAUCAUGCAGGAAGCAGGUUGGAGAGAUGGGAUUUGUCAGAUCGUGUGGUGGGACAACUCUUUUAGGGUCUGUUUUGGUUAUCUUGUGGUGGGACAACUCUUUAGGAUCCCUGAAAUUUUGUGGUGGGGAUUAUGCUUUUCUUGCGUGAACAGUGCGAAUCAACCAAGUUUGUGAACCUGCAGAGUUAGGGGCCUCAUCAUCUGGCAGUGACAACUGACAAGGCCUUUUGUUUUAGAUUAGUACUAGGUGGUAACACAAUUCUUUCAAUGUGGAAAUGCCAUCAAGAAGGUUAGGCCAGUUAGGUGGUUUGUUAUGCAAGAUUGUAAUUGUAACUUGCAAGGUAUUCGAACUGGGCAUCCAAUCGUGAUCCUCUGUUCCUAAAAGAAAGGAUGGAAAAUGAUAUCUGUGUGAAAGAGGUAUUUGGGUUAGGGGCUAUUUGUUGGCCCUUGUGGUUGUUGAGAAACAAAUGCCCACCGAGAGAAAAUUGGACCACCACCAGCUGAUGUAUUUUCAUUUACUUUUUUUUUUGCGUUUUUGCAGCAACUGAAGAGGCUUCUACAGGCGACGGACCAACAGAUUGAUGGUGCUUGAAGUGCAUGACAAACUCAAAAAAUGUGUGUUCAAGGGACGGUGCUUCGAGGAUAAGCUUGUGCCCAUGUAGAAAUCAACAUAAAUCAGGUUCAUUAUUCAUAUCUCCUGGUUGCAGUUUGCUUAAUAUUCUUCGUUACCAAAAUGUCUGGACUUGGUCCUCUUUGACGUGCUCAAGGCACGUCAGAACUGCGUUGGAGGCCAAUCUUGACAGUUUCUUUUGCAUCCGACGCACAGACAAUUAAGGCUUUGACUAGGUAUCAGGCGACUGAGAUUAAGAAAAUCUCAGUCGAUGCGUGGCCUGUCCAUCAGCUCUGGACGGAAAACAACAUUUGUAUAUGCAUGAGAUUGAAUACAUACGCGAGCCAUCAUGUGCAUGCAGGACAAUUGAAUACAUACGGAUGUUAAGAUAACCUGCCGUAGGAGUUGUAGAUAAGCAACAGUAGAUAUUGUCUUGUAUAACAAGGAAAACGAGCCUAACAACUUCUGUUGUAAUCUUACGUUAGCGAUCCGAUCUGUGGACGCAACGACCUGAAUAUCUCUGCUAUAAAUAGAACCGAUCGGCAUCAGUUGAUGCACGGCGAAACACA
This is a long non-coding RNA of Brachypodium distachyon (stiff brome), 1539 nucleotides long. RefSeq lists it as uncharacterized. Lineage: Eukaryota; Viridiplantae; Streptophyta; Magnoliopsida; Poales; Poaceae. The transcript has 2 exons. The record is from RefSeq and is a predicted model, not a curated record.